RNAcentral lists this ribosomal RNA (254 nucleotides) under uncultured bacterium. RNAcentral's name for it is "partial 16S ribosomal RNA". It matches the Rfam family "Bacterial small subunit ribosomal RNA", at positions 524 to 776 of the family's 1533-position model. The record is from RNAcentral.
UACAGAGACUGCAAGCGUUAUUCGGAUUCACUGGGCGUAAAGGGUGCGCAGGCGGCCGUGUGUGUGAGGCGUGAAAGCCCCGGAGCUCAACUCCGGAAUUGCACCUCAAACUACACGGCUAGAGCAUUGGAGAGGGUAGCGGAAUUCACGGUGUAGCAGUGAAAUGCGUAGAUAUCGUGAGGAACACCAGAGGCGAAGGCGGCUACCUGGACAAUUGCUGACGCUCAGGCACGAAAGCGUGGGGAGCAAAAGGG